UACAGAGGUCUCAAGCGUUGUUCGGAUUCAUUGGGCGUAAAGGGUGCGUAGGUGGCGCCAUAAGUCAGGUGUGAAAUCUCGGGGCUCAACCUCGAAACUGCACUUGAUACUGUGGUGCUUGAGUACUGGAGAGGAGAUUGGAAUUUACGGUGUAGCAGUGAAAUGCGUAGAGAUCGUAAGGAAGACCAGUGGCGAAGGCGGGUCUCUGGACAGUUCCUGACACUGAGGCACGAAGGCCAGGGGAGCAAACGGG
This 253-nucleotide ribosomal RNA is filed under the name uncultured bacterium. RNAcentral describes it as "partial 16S ribosomal RNA". It matches the Rfam family "Bacterial small subunit ribosomal RNA", at positions 524 to 776 of the family's 1533-position model. The record is from RNAcentral.